RNAcentral lists this ribosomal RNA (490 nucleotides) under uncultured bacterium. Its description in RNAcentral is "partial 16S ribosomal RNA". It matches the Rfam family "Bacterial small subunit ribosomal RNA", at positions 30 to 507 of the family's 1533-position model. The record is from RNAcentral.
AUUGAACGCUGGCGGCAGGCCUAACACAUGCAAGUCGAACGGUAACAGGAAGACGCUUGCUUCUUUGCUGACGAGUGGCGGACGGGUGAGUAAUGUCUGGGAAACUGCCUGAUGGAGGGGGAUAACUACUGGAAACGGUAGCUAAUACCGCAUAACGUCGCAAGACCAAAGAGGGGGACCUUCGGGCCUCUUGCCAUCGGAUGUGCCCAGAUGGGAUUAGCUAGUAGGUGGGGUAACGGCUCACCUAGGCGACGAUCCCUAGCUGGUCUGAGAGGAUGACCAGCCACACUGGAACUGAGACACGGUCCAGACUCCUACGGGAGGCAGCAGUGGGGAAUAUUGCACAAUGGGCGCAAGCCUGAUGCAGCCAUGCCGCGUGUAUGAAGAAGGCCUUCGGGUUGUAAAGUACUUUCAGCGGGGAGGAAGGGAGUAAAGUUAAUACCUUUGCUCAUUGACGUUACCCGCAGAAGAAGCACCGGCUAACUCCGUG